UGCUUGCGCACCGUGUUUUCUUGAGUCGCGAACGGGUGAGUAACGCGUAGGUAACCUGCCUAUUAGCGGGGGAUAACUAUUGGAAACGAUAGCUAAUACCGCAUAAUAUUAAUUAUUGCAUGAUAAUUGAUUGAAAGAUGCAAGCGCAUCACUAGUAGAUGGACCUGCGUUGUAUUAGCUAGUUGGUAAGGUAAGAGCUUACCAAGGCGACGAUACAUAGCCGACCUGAGAGGGUGAUCGGCCACACUGGGACUGAGACACGGCCCAGACUCCUACGGGAGGCAGCAGUAAGGAAUCUUCGGCAAUGGACGAAAGUCUGACCGAGCAACGCCGCGUGAGUGAAGAAGGUUUUCGGAUCGUAAAGCUCUGUUGUAAGUCAAGAACGUGUGUGAGAGUGGAA
This 400-nucleotide ribosomal RNA is filed under the name Streptococcus mutans. RNAcentral describes it as "bacterial SSU rRNA". It matches the Rfam family "Bacterial small subunit ribosomal RNA", at positions 56 to 466 of the family's 1533-position model. The record is from RNAcentral. Lineage: Bacteria; Bacillati; Bacillota; Bacilli; Lactobacillales; Streptococcaceae.